AGAGUUUGAUCCUGGCUCAGAUUGAACGCUGGCGGCAUGCUUUACACAUGCAAGUCGAACGGCAGCACGGGUGCUUGCACCUGGUGGCGAGUGGCGAACGGGUGAGUAAUGCACCGGAACGUACCCAGUAAUGGGGGAUAACACAUCGAAAGAUGUGCUAAUACCGCAUACGCCCUGAGGGGGAAAGCGGGGGAUCGUAAGACCUCGCGUUAUUGGAGCGGCCGAUGCCGGAUUAGCUAGUUGGUGAGGUAAGAGCUCACCAAGGCGACGAUCCGUAGCUGGUCUGAGAGGACGACCAGCCACACUGGGACUGAGACACGGCCCAGACUCCUACGGGAGGCAGCAGUGGGGAAUUUUGGACAAUGGGCGCAAGCCUGAUCCAGCCAUGCCGCGUGAGUGAAGAAGGCCUUCGGCUUGUAAAGCUCUUUCGCAAGGAAAGAAAACUUAUCUACUAA
Molecule: ribosomal RNA, 455 nt
Filed under: uncultured bacterium
Lineage: Bacteria
Description: bacterial SSU rRNA
Rfam family: Bacterial small subunit ribosomal RNA
Source: RNAcentral